Molecule: transfer RNA, 67 nt
Filed under: Liparis punctulatus
Lineage: Eukaryota; Metazoa; Chordata; Actinopteri; Perciformes; Liparidae
Description: tRNA-Ser (AGY)
Source: RNAcentral
GAGAGAGGCUUGCAACAACGAAAACUGCUAAUUUCCGUAACCUUGGUUAAACUCCAAGGCUCACUCG